Molecule: RNA transcript, 2490 nt
Organism: Gastrolobium bilobum
Lineage: Eukaryota; Viridiplantae; Streptophyta; Magnoliopsida; Fabales; Fabaceae
Gene name: dihydrodipicolinate reductase-like protein CRR1, chloroplastic
Exons: 10
Source: RefSeq, a predicted model, not a curated record
UUAUCUAUCAAAAUAUUAGUCACCUUAUGCUUUAUGGUCACAGAAAAUAUAGGCUUAUCUUCUUUUGGGGUGAGAAGCUUGAACAAUCAUGGCAGCCUUAAGCUGCCAGUUUCAUUCCACCAACUACUUUAAUUCUCAGAAUGUCAAAAGCAGAAACAAGCAUUUCACUUCUUGCUCAGCUCAGCCUACGCAAAGCAAUAUUAAGGUUGUGGUAAAUGGAGCAGCCAAGGAAAUAGGAAGGGCAGCAAUAAUAGCUGUCACAAAGGCCAGAGGAAUGGAGGUAGCUGGAGCUGUGGAUACUAAUCAUGUUGGGGAAGAUAUUGGAAAGGUCUGUGGCAUGGAAGAGCCCCUGGAAAUACCUAUAAUAAAUGACCUUACUAUGGUUUUGGGCUCUAUAUCUCAGUCCAAGGCAACAGGAGUGGUAGUUGAUUUCACUGACCCUUCCUCGGUAUAUGACAACGUAAAACAGGCAACAGCAUUUGGUAUGAAAAGCGUAGUUUACGUGCCCCGAAUCAAAUUAGAUACGGUUGCUGCAUUAUCUUCUUUAUGCGAGAAGGCCAGCAUGGGUGUCUUGGUUGCACCAACCCUUUCCAUAGGAUCAAUAUUGCUGCAACAAGCUGCGAUUUCAGCUUCUUUCCAUUACAGCAACGUGGAAAUUGUGGAAUCCAAGGCUAAUGCAAAUGAUCUUCCGUCAGCAGAUGCAAACCAAAUUGCCAAUAAUCUCUCCAACCUUGGUAAAAUCUAUAACACAGGAGAUCCUUCAACAGAUGUCUUGGGGUCAAGUCCUGGGAGAUGGAAUUCGUGUGCACAGCUUGGUCCUUCCAGGGCUUCCCUCAAGUACAACAGUUCAUUUCUCUGGUCCAGGAGAGAUUUAUUCUAUCAGGCAUGAUAUCACAGAUGUGCAGUGUCUCAUGCCAGGCUUGCUAUUAGCCAUUAGAAAAGUAGUGCGCCUCAAGAAUUUGGUAUAUGGCUUGGAGAAAUUUAUGUGAAAAUACUCUUCAAUCUCCUUGUCACAAACUUGACCUUGGUUAAACUCAAAGGGCUGUCCACACUAUUGACAGGCUAGUGUCACACUGACUAACCUGUCAACAAACAUUUAAGGUUUAAAAGAAGUAAGAGAAGAGAAACAGAACCUCCCAAAUCAUUCAAUCAUGUCAUUUAAUAUCUGAACUGUGAUUCGAUGCUUUUCAAAGAUUUUUGUAGAGUUUAUCUUAAAAUUUCAUUUUUGCCAUCAUGAAGAGGAUCAACUAGAGCUAAUCUACAGAGGAUUUUAAACUUAUUUUUUAUCCACUCCUAUUGAGUUCUACAAGGGUCAAGGCUCUCCCGAAUUUUAAAAGGAGAUGAUUUAGUAUGACUCAAUUUUUUUAUUUAUUUUUUGUCCCGGGAACAAAAGUGGUAAUAAGAGGUACUCUCGUAUACUAUAUGAUAGGGUGUUAUUGGCAUGCUUUGGAAUUCGAAGGUUAAAGAGAGGCCCGACUUAAAAGAUCACUUCAGGUUAUUUAAAGUAAACCGUUUUCCUUAUGAGGCUACUCGACCAGCUCUUAGGCAUCAGGAAAUUUUCCUAUAAGGUUGUCCACCAACAAAGGAACUUUUAAUAAAUGGUUGUAUAGGUUCUGGAACUCCUACAUGUGAAAAAAGCAAAGCUUGAGACUGGAACCUUAAUUCCUGGUGUCAACCCAGCUUAAAGUUAUGCUAACAUAUGCAAUUGAGCUAACUAUUAAAAUAAGUUAAAGUUGCUUAAAACCAUACUCAAUUUGACUUAUUUAUAUAUUAUAUAAAACAAUUUGAACCCAAAUAUGCACCCAAUAGCUUAGCUCGACCACACUCGUACCAGUACCCAUACUUUAUUUCGAAUCAUAUGACUAGAAUGUAAAACACCCCACAUGACACUCAUGUGCAUGGUUGUUAGUUGUUGGCCUUUUUUUUUUUAUGUAAUACUUGUUGGCCUUUUUAUGCAAGGCAUAGAGUGUAAGUUAUCAAACCAUCUGUCCAUUCAUAAAUUAAAUGUUAACAAUUCUAAAAACAAUAAAAAAACACUUUUAAUUGGUUAUAUCUCUAUCUUUUUUUAUUUGUCAAUAUUUAAUUAAAAUAUUUUUUUAAUUGUUAAUGUUUAAUUAAAAGAAAAUUGUAAUUGCUAAGAACAUUUGUUGAUCGAAGCUGUAUUGUACGGCGGUGUAAAUUGUUGGGUAUGGCUCAUCCUUAGAAGUCAGAUGACAACCUUUUUUGUUGGUGGGAUCAACAUAAAGCCAACUGAGGUCCCACUCCCAGGUGAGCAGGCGGGGGAAGUUCCCACAUGCCAGUAGAGGCUAGGUACUGUUGUCGGCUUUUGAUUUAUUGUAAUUUUUUCUUUUUUUAGUAGUUUGGGCUUGGGCCCAUGAAUAGUUGUUGUUAGGGUUUUUUAAUUCAAUUUAUUCACAUUGUAAAUUGAGUGACUUGUAACAAGUGGCAGUAAGGUGAAUAUAGUACAGACAAGCUGAACGUAAUUUACAU